GGUUUAAUUCGAGGCUACACGAAGAACCUUACCAGGGUUUGACAUGCAAGUGGUAGGAAUCCGAAAGGUGACCGACCCUUCGGGGAGCUUGCACAGGUGCUGCAUGGCUGUCGUCAGCUCGUGUCGUGAGAUGUUCGGUUAAGUCCGCUAACGAGCGCAACCCUCGUCGUGUGUUAUACGUGUCACACGAUACUGCCGGUAUCAAGCCGGAGGAAGGUGGGGAUGAUGUCAAGUCAGCAUGGCCUUUAUAUCCUGGGCUACACACACGCUACAAUGGCAGAUACAAUAGGUUGCGAAACCGCGAGGUGGAGCCAAUCCUCAAAGUCUGUCUCAGUUCAGAUUGUAGGCUGCAACUCGCCUGCAUGAAGUUGGAGUUGCUAGUAAACGCAGGUCAGCUAUACUGCGUUGAAUACGUUCCCGGGGUUU
Molecule: ribosomal RNA, 426 nt
Filed under: uncultured Leptolinea sp.
Lineage: Bacteria; Bacillati; Chloroflexota; Anaerolineae; Anaerolineales; Anaerolineaceae
Description: bacterial SSU rRNA
Rfam family: Bacterial small subunit ribosomal RNA
Source: RNAcentral